Molecule: long non-coding RNA, 1126 nt
Organism: Lynx canadensis (Canada lynx)
Lineage: Eukaryota; Metazoa; Chordata; Mammalia; Carnivora; Felidae
Exons: 5
Source: RefSeq, a predicted model, not a curated record
GGCUUACGAGGGGGUCUUCUCUCGGUCUCUAGAUUUUGUAAUCUGUGGGGACUGUUUGCAGGCAGCUGCGGGGUCUCAGGAAGAGGGAAAAGCUGAGGGCAGUUGGCAUUCCAUCUCCAGGAAAUUGGGUCUGUCCUCUUCGGGGAGUGGGAACUGAACGGUGUGGGGGUGGGGUGCUGUUGCAGCGGUGGGAAGGAUGAGAGGUGGAUGCGGGAAGUGUGUACCCUAAACUCAUGUAAGGUCAGCCAGAGCCAGGAUGAGCCUCCGCCCUAUAUCCCUCAUUUUACAGAUCCCAAGAGAGUGGAAGAGUCAUGCCCAAGGUCACUCAGCUGGGUGGUGGAAAUGCCCAGAGGCAGCCUCCUCAAGUCCAGCCCGGCCCUGCCCACUGUGUCUGAUGUGUCCUGUAGGAACCUCCCUGCCUGACUCGCCCCGCAUCUCGUCGUUCUCCAGAGGGAGCGCUAGCCGGACAUCGUGACGCUCCAGCGAAUGAGCCCAACGUGGUCCCUCCAAGCCCUGCCGCCCAGCCCAGGACUCUCUCAGGAAACACCACGGUCUUGCUUAUUCUGUCUUGCAAGGUCCUUCCCAGUGUCUAACUGAGACCUGUUCUGCUGAAGUACCAGUUCUCUGACCCUGGGCUUGACAUGGCUAAUUUGAGAGGUGCUGAGGCUCCUAGGUCUCCCCCACCCCAGGAAGGAAGGGGCUGACCUCGAUUCCACACCCACUUGCUCACGCGAGCCCUCUCGCAGCCGUCUUCUCUGUCAGUCUGCUGCCAGGCCUGGAGUGGUUCUGUCCCCCACUUGGCAAAGCUGCAGUCAGGGCCCCACGAAGGAUGUGUGGGUCACCCCGCGUCACGGGGCUGACCGAAAAGAAGGACGUAUUGCACCCAGCUGGCAUGGGUUCCCUCUGAGAAGCCCUCCUGGAUUGAUCGAAGUGGCAAGACCCCAGCUCCAGCCUGGGCUGCCCGUUACACCCGGAGCCACCCGGGAGAGGACUUCGUCCCACCCUUGCUCCCGUGGCCACCGCUGUCCACCCUGGUCCAUCCCAGUCCCUGUGGCGUCCGAGCUGAGAGUCCUCUGAGAUGGCGGUCCCGUCUCAGAUCUAAUAAAGACUCCUGAAUGUUGAACCA